This 778-nucleotide unclassified non-coding RNA is filed under the name Bombus terrestris (buff-tailed bumblebee). RNAcentral's name for it is "misc RNA ENSBTSG00005025997.1". The record is from RNAcentral. Lineage: Eukaryota; Metazoa; Arthropoda; Insecta; Hymenoptera; Apidae.
UUAGUAUUUUAUUAUGAUCUGCAUACAUAUCCUAAUUUACUUUUUUACUUUAAUCAACUGCUAUAUAUUUUCCUUCUUCUAAUAAUUCUUCAUCUUUCUUCAUUUGUAUUUCUUGUAGCGCUGGUCGAAUAUAUCGAUAAUAACAAAAUCCUUUAUAUACUAAAGUUAUUCCAGAAACUACUGUCAGACCCAUUAAUACCGUUACAGUUCCUCUGUGAAGUUUGUCUAAGAUAUAACUCCUUUUCGCAUAUUUUGGCAACAUUUUUUAUUAAUAUUUUUGUCUGUAUCAACAGUUUUUAAAAUAUAUAAACCUGGAAAAUGUAUAAUUACUAUUACAAAUCAUAUAACUGAGAAACGUAAUAAAAUGUAUUUCAAUUUAUAUUAUUAAUUACGUAAUUUGUUGCACGCACCUACUCUAUACGAGAGUAAAUAAGAUAACAGUGUAUUAUAGAGUUAAAAAGUUUUUGACUUCUAUCUUUCUUCUGAAGAUUAAGCCUUUUAUAUAUGAGGUUAGGAACGCGUUUGGUGCUCUCUGCUCAAAUAAAUACUAAGGCUAAUACACGUUCGAUGUGAGACGUGAGUCUAACGCGUUGAAAAAUAAACGAACCUAUAAUUAUGCAAUCUUUUUGUCAAUCAAAUGAGUUUUUUAGAAAUUCAUUAAAUAUUGUUGAAUCUACAUCUAAAACUAUCUCAUCCAAUGAAGGCCCUUGUUGUGUCACUGGCAAUUCUGAAAUAAAAGUAAACUUCACAAAAUUGACUUUAAAAUUAAGUUAAACUU